UAGUGCUGUUGCUGCAUGUUCCAAGGGGUGCUGGUUCAAGGCUCAGCUCUGGUUUCUUUCCAAGAGUGUCUU
This is a non-coding RNA of Pangasianodon gigas (Mekong giant catfish), 72 nucleotides long. The record is from the annotation of a GenBank genome assembly. NCBI's taxonomy places the organism in Eukaryota, Metazoa, Chordata, Actinopteri, Siluriformes, Pangasiidae.